Molecule: long non-coding RNA, 1787 nt
Organism: Dermochelys coriacea (leatherback sea turtle)
Lineage: Eukaryota; Metazoa; Chordata; Testudines; Dermochelyidae
Exons: 3
Source: RefSeq, a predicted model, not a curated record
UGCCCAGGGGCGAUGGAAGCACUUGGGGCAGAGGGUGAGCACACCAGCAAUGGAAAUAUUCUAAACUUGGGCACACCUGGGGAGAGGGGUGCAGAGGCAACAGUGGGACCCAGAGAAGUUGGAGCAGCCGCAGGGAGCAAGGGCUGAGACCCAGAGGAGCUGGAACAGGCUGGGAGCAGGGAAAGAAUUCCUUUCCAAGCCAGCUCAGGUGAUCAGUCCCAUUCUAAUGGAGUAUUAUCAACACUCACACCAAAUCCCCAAAUACCAUUCACUUCCAGGUGCAAGUCAUCCAACAUCUGUCAGCAGCUACCUUUCUGAGAUACAGAUGCAGUAAUCAGCAUUGAACCUGGCUUCAGCGAUACAGAGGGUGCCCAUUCCACUAAUUUCUCUAUGAAAACGUACUGAGGACUACAAUAAGUAACAGUCACAGGCACACACGAGUAACCAGAAUGGGUCAUACCAUUGGUUCAUCAAAUCCAGUAUCCAAGGCUUCAAAGAAAAAUGGGGCCACUGCAGGAAAACAUGGUCAGUUGUGUGAAGUGUCGCACAUGGAGAAAGUUCUUUACUGAGCCCUGUAACGAUUAGCUUUUGCCCUGGAGCAGGAAAUAUUUCCUUUUCACAGCCUGUAAAACUAAUUACUGACCAUAAAAUUAUCCAGCCCUUAUAAAAUCCCGCCUCUGUAUUUAGCUGUUGCUUAUUAGUUACAUCAUGGUUCUGCCUAUAACUAUACACUGGUACAGCACAAAGAUCUGUCUUCUCUCAAGUCUCCGGUAAGGAAGAGAAUUUCUCUCUAGGAAACAUCAUUAAUACCCGACACUUAUCUAGUUAUUUUUCCUCUUGUCAAAGCAUUUAUAAACACUGAUUUAUCCUCAACACCCACAGCGAGGUCAGACUCUUCCAGUUUAUUGGGGAAAACAGCAACAAGACUGACUGAUGGGCUGUCUCUAUGAAAAAACCUGAUAUCACCUAGCCAAUCAAUGAACUGCACUGGGCUUGCAAGGAUACAAGAACGACAGGGAGAGUUCUCAGGUCCCUAGAUAGCCAACCUGCUUAAAGAACCGAUUAUCCCUAUUUUUUUGAGGAAAUACUCCAUAGAUCAGAGAACUGACCAAACCAAGUCCACAUGAGAAAUGGAGAGGCAGCAGCAAUCAGAGGUCCCCAGCUGGGGCCCUGUUUGGGUCAGCCACGAUAGGUAAAUGGUCAGAUAGGCCUUGCCCUGAAGAGUGGCCAGUCUAAACAAAGGGUAGGAGAGAGGCAGGCUUAUCUCCAUUUAACACUGGGGAAACUGAGGCAUGGAGAGAUUAAGUGACUAGCCCAAGAUCAUAUAAGAAGCCUACACCAGAGCCAGGAACUGAACCCAUAUCUUCCGAGUCCCAAUCCAGUGCUUUAACCACAAGACCAUCCUUUCUUUUCCCCUUCCUCUCUGUCACUGGGCUGCUGAAUGAAGACAUCAGCCAACAAAGCUUACCCUGCGGACACAGAGACAGGUCUGACUCUGCCAAGGGACUAUCGAGGUGACCUACUAAGGUGGCUAGCUGAAGCAAGGCUUACCCAGAUAGUAAAGGCGAUGAGAAUGUGGGCUGGAUUCUUCUGUUUUCUGGACAAAUUGGAAAUCAUGGGGCGCCUUGUUCACUAUCAUGCCUGAAUACUUCCUGCUGCUGUGAAUAAUGUCACGCAGCCCAUCCCACGAAUGCUUCUCCACCAGGAACUGGGAAGGCACGUCCUCCAUCUCAACCACUUCAGUGUUGUCUGACAGCGCAUCCACUGCGGUCAUCCUCUCUUUCUCC